This 272-nucleotide ribosomal RNA is filed under the name uncultured bacterium. RNAcentral describes it as "partial 16S ribosomal RNA". It matches the Rfam family "Bacterial small subunit ribosomal RNA", at positions 28 to 293 of the family's 1533-position model. The record is from RNAcentral.
GACGAACGCUGGCGGCGUGCCUAACACAUGCAAGUGGAGCGACGAACCGGGCUUCGGCCCGGGGCAGAGCCGCGAACGGGUGAGUAACACGUGGGUAACCUGCCCUGAUGAUCGGGACAACCCGAGGAAACUCGGGCUAAUACCGAAUGUGCCCUCUGGCCUCAAGGCCUCUGGGGAAAGGAAGCUUCGGCCUCCGCAUCGGGAUGGGCCCGCGGCCCAUUAGCUUGUUGGUGAGGCAAAGGCNCACCAAGGCAACGAUGGGUAGCUGGUCU